RNAcentral lists this unclassified non-coding RNA (227 nucleotides) under fungal sp. Its description in RNAcentral is "partial contains small subunit ribosomal RNA, internal transcribed spacer 1, and 5.8S ribosomal RNA". The stretch from base 1 to 46 matches the Rfam family "Eukaryotic small subunit ribosomal RNA", at positions 1786 to 1831 of the family's 1831-position model. Lineage: Eukaryota; Fungi. The record is from RNAcentral.
AAGUCGUAACAAGGUUUCCGUAGGUGAACCUGCGGAAGGAUCAUUAACAAAUCCUGUUGUUGUAUGUUUGUUCAUGUGGAUGUCAUUUCAUUUCACGUGUUCAAAUGUACACAAACACACGUUCCAUGUGCACGUUCAUUCUUGCACAUGACAUUUCUACGAAUCGUCUGAUCAUUCAUUUAUUCAAAUCAUAACAAUAACUUUUAACAAUGGAUCUCUAGGCUCUU